UACAGACUUAGAGAUCUGCUUUCUAGAAAAGUUUCUUUAUAUUAAAAUUGUUAAAAAAGAAAAGCCUUUAAAACCAUCUCCUUGGUUCAUCUUUUUAAACCUCUCUGUUGUAGCAGGUGGUUCUUGUCUAUCUGGAAGUAUGCUUGGGUUGCAGUUGCUUUUUCUGAACUUUUUCUUGCCAAAUUCUUUUCUUUGUAUCCCCACCCACCCUUAACCACCAUGACAUUUGUUACUUUAAAAGAAAAAAAAUAUUAUUCUUAUUGGCUACUGUGACUUUUCAUCGGAAAAAUGAAGUGAAACUAUGAAUGUAUGAAUUUUUGUUUUUCCUUUUUUUUUUUUUUUUGCUUUGUUGAUUUAAAGAAAGCCUCCUUUCUUAGCUACUUCUGGGAAAGGAUGGCUCUGGUGUGCAUAAUCACUUGUUUACUGACAUUAGGGUCCAUCUGUAGGAGGAAUUCAGAGCCAGCUUUUGUGAGUACUGUGCAUUUUUUGAGAUCUGCCCCUCCCCAGGUGUGGCUAAUCUAGCUUUUAAAAGAUAAUUUACUAUCCGAAAAAAACAGCCGAUUGUUAUCAGAUCCUGGGCUAUGUCUCUAAAAUGAGAACGAAGAGUUGCGGCUACCCUACUACAGAGCCUUCGCUUCCCCACAGAGGAGGGAAACGUGAGUAGCAGGAGCCCAAUGCCAUGCUACUUUGUGUCAAAGACUUGACUUGAUUGGCCUGAGCAUCUGCUGUCUCAGUCAGUUGUUCCCCCACCAAGCUUCAUGGAGAACAGGCUGUCUCCUGUCUGCUGCUGUCCACUGCAGUGUACUGCAGGUUUGGUUUGGUUUUGACUUGAUUUUUGUUUUGUUUUGUCUUUGUUUUGUAUUGUGCUAAUAACAAAGACAACAGACCAACAAAAACUAUGCACACUCUCGCUGUUCUUCCUGCCUGCAGUGUAGAACAUUGUUUUUAACGACCUGAAUUUUUUUCUUUAAGAAUUAUGUUACCUACAGCUUUGAAAGAAUUACAGAGAUUUCACAGAAACAUUAAAUCCUACCCUGUCAUUUCAUAGCUCUGAGAACAUUUUUUUUCUGAAGUAUAUACGACAUGAUAGAGGGGUUCAGCAAUCUUAAAAGACACUUGACGGUCAGGGGGCACAGCACUUUUGCUAGGAAGCUGCGGUGCUGUUCUUCCUAUCAAAGGGAAGUAGAUAGAUUGAUAGAAUGCUAAUGAGAAGAUAUUACCAAUAGAUAAAAAUGUUUGCACAUAGCCCCUUAGCCUGGUAAUAUGAAUGAAUUAUCAAUAAUGAUAAAAAAGUAUUGUUUUCUAAAACCAGAGAUCACAAUGAUAUGAGAGUCCAGAUAGUCUCUUUUGUUACUAUGAUCUGACCUUGUUUGUCCUGGUUUUUGUAUAAACUAGUGAGAUAUUUCCCUAUUCCAAUCAUAUUAAAACAUCACUGGAGGUAUUAUGAAGACAUUAAGAUAAUUAUUGGGACAAAUAUCAUGAAAACUCUCCAGAAAUAUUGUAAAUGUGUUGCUAAUAUCAAUCUCCUGUAACUUUCAGAACUUUUUUAUUUUUAUGAUUUCAUGUAAGGAAAUGGCAUUGGAAUUUUUAUGUAGUCCUAGCGGGCUUUGAGCUUCUGAGCCCCUCCUUCCAAGUGCUGGGAUUAUAAGCAUGGGUCACAAUGCCUGUCUUUUUCUUUCUCUCUCUCUCUCUCUCUCUCUCUCUCUCUCUCUCUCUCUCUCUCUCUCUUUCUCUUUUCUCUUUAAAUGUAGCUAUGUAGGUCUGGCUGUCCAGGAAUUCUCUAUGUAGAUCUCAGAUUCAUCCAGAUCCACCUGAAUCUGUCUCCCAAUGCUUGGGAUCAAAGAUGUGUGCCACUACACCCUUCUUGAACAGGGUGCUACCACAAAGCCCGAGUGGACUUUGAACUCACCACAUAGACCAGGCUGGUCUUAAAAUUGUGAACUUGCUGCUAACCUUCUGCUUCUUUCUCUUGAGUACUGGGGUAACAGCGAUGUACCACCACAUCUAGAAACAGGUAAAUCAUGGUUUCAGUACUGCUGGUAAUAGUGAGUCAAUCUUACCCUCCUCCAUUUUAGCAGGUCUCAAUGCAACAUUGUGUGCAAGAGUAUUACCCCUUUGUUUUCUUCGUUGUUUCUUCCUUAUAUUUCUUGCCUUACUUGGCAGAAUUUGGCUUUUUGUUCAAAUAUCUUCAUAGAGUCUUUGUCCAUUUUCAUCCUAGUAAAAAACACCUUGAGGUGAGGACUGCCCAUGCGGGCACACGAGCCACCAGCUUCUCCCUGCAGCUUCUCUGCAGUAGAAACCUGGACCACUUUCCUAACUUGCUGCUCUUCACAGCCCCUCCCUCCAUAAACCUUGUUGUCCUUUCUUUUGAUUUAUCUUGUCUUCUUUCUGCUUGAUUUUACUUAGCUUGAUGACAGUCUUAGAUAGGAGUGCCCUAAGCUGGCCUUGAACUUGUGAUCUUGCUUCAGUCUGGAACAUGCUAGAGUAACUCACAUAUGCCAUCAUGUCUGGAUUCUCAUCUCUUCUAAUGAGCAUAGAUCUUUGAGUGCUGUACUUUGGUCUUAGGUCUUUGGGAAGAGGGUAAGACAUACUCAUCUCGCAUAAGAGGGAAAGUGAUUGAAAUACCUUUUAUGGUAUGGAGAGGUGACUCAAGGGUUUAGAGGCUUACAAUUCCCAGGCAUAUCUUCCACACCCCACUCUCAACCUUCUUGGGUAGUAUAUACACACACAUAAAAAGUAAGGUCUUAAUUUAGCUUCAUUGAUGACC
Molecule: long non-coding RNA, 2767 nt
Filed under: Mus musculus (house mouse)
Lineage: Eukaryota; Metazoa; Chordata; Mammalia; Rodentia; Muridae
Description: long non-coding RNA chr3:133549311-133552078
Source: RNAcentral